This 250-nucleotide ribosomal RNA is filed under the name uncultured prokaryote. RNAcentral describes it as "partial 16S ribosomal RNA". It matches the Rfam family "Bacterial small subunit ribosomal RNA", at positions 524 to 773 of the family's 1533-position model. The record is from RNAcentral.
UACGUAGGGGGCAAGCGUUAUCCGGAUCUACUGGGUGUAAAGGGAGCGUAGACGGUUCUGCAAGUAUGAAGUGGAAGCUCGGGGCUCAACCCCGGAACUGCUUUGGAAACUGUAGAACUGGAGUGCAGGAGAGGUAAGCGGGAUUCCUAGUGUAGCGGUGAAAUGCGUAGAUAUUAGGAGGAACACCAGAGGCGAAGGCGGCUUACUGGACUGUAACUGACGUUGAGGCCCGAAGGCGUGGGGAGCAAAC